RNAcentral lists this small RNA (148 nucleotides) under Callithrix jacchus (white-tufted-ear marmoset). RNAcentral's name for it is "Metazoan signal recognition particle RNA (ENSCJAG00000075432.1)". It matches the Rfam family "Metazoan signal recognition particle RNA". From Rfam's summary of the family: The signal recognition particle (SRP) is a universally conserved ribonucleoprotein. The record is from Rfam by way of RNAcentral. Lineage: Eukaryota; Metazoa; Chordata; Mammalia; Primates; Cebidae.
GCUGGGCACGGUGGCGCGUGCCUGUAAUCCCAGCUACUCAGGAGGCUGAGGCGGGAGAAUUGCUUGAACCCAGGAGGCGGAGGUUGCGGUGAGCCGAGAUUGGCCAUUGCACUCCAGCCUGGGUAACAAGAGCGAAACUCCGUCUCAA